CCUACGGGAGGCUGCAGUGGGGAAUAUUGGACAAUGGGCGAAAGCCUGAUCCAGCCAUGCCGCGUGUGUGAAGAAGGCCUUCGGGUUGUAAAGCACUUUCAGUGGGGAAGAAAGCCUUGGGGCUAAUACCCUCGAGGAAGGACAUCACCCACAGAAGAAGCACCGGCUAACUCCGUGCCAGCAGCCGCGGUAAUACGGAGGGUGCGAGCGUUAAUCGGAAUUACUGGGCGUAAAGCGCGCGUAGGCGGUCUGAUAAGCCGGUUGUGAAAGCCCCGGGCUCAACCUGGGAACGGCAUCCGGAACUGUCAGGCUAGAGUGCAGGAGAGGAAGGUAGAAUUCCCGGUGUAGCGGUGAAAUGCGUAGAGAUCGGGAGGAAUACCAGUGGCGAAGGCGGCCUUCUGGACUGACACUGACGCUGAGGUGCGAAAGCGUGGGUAGCAAACAGGAUUAGAUACCCCGGUCGUC
RNAcentral lists this ribosomal RNA (465 nucleotides) under Vreelandella stevensii. Its description in RNAcentral is "partial 16S ribosomal RNA". It matches the Rfam family "Bacterial small subunit ribosomal RNA", at positions 338 to 795 of the family's 1533-position model. Lineage: Bacteria; Pseudomonadati; Pseudomonadota; Gammaproteobacteria; Oceanospirillales; Halomonadaceae. The record is from RNAcentral.